RNAcentral lists this ribosomal RNA (626 nucleotides) under uncultured Coriolopsis. Its description in RNAcentral is "eukaryotic LSU rRNA". The stretch from base 217 to 370 matches the Rfam family "5.8S ribosomal RNA". The record is from RNAcentral. Lineage: Eukaryota; Fungi; Basidiomycota; Agaricomycetes; Polyporales; Polyporaceae.
CUGCGGAAGGAUCAUUAUCGAGUUUUGAAAUGGGUUGUAGCUGGCCUCUCCGGAGGCAUGUGCACGCCCUGCUCAUCCACUCUACACCUGUGCACUUACUGUGGGUAUUGGAAGGCGUAGAGUCGUUUCACGACGGCGAGGCGUUGACCGUGCCUACGUUUUUCUACAAACGCUUCAGUAUCAGAAUGUGUAUUGCGAUAUAACGCAUCUAUAUACAACUUUCAGCAACGGAUCUCUUGGCUCUCGCAUCGAUGAAGAACGCAGCGAAAUGCGAAUAGUAAUGUGAAUUGCAGAAUUCAGUGAAUCAUCGAAUCUUUGAACGCACCUUGCGCUCCUUGGUAUUCCGAGGAGCAUGCCUGUUUGAGUGUCAUGAAAUUCUCAAACCCAUAAGUCUUUGCGGACCUAGUGGGCUUUGGACUUGGAGGCUUGUCGGCGACUGCAUAGUCGGUCGACUCCUCUCAAAUGCAUUAGCUUGAUUCCUUGCGGAUCGGCUCUCGGUGUGAUAAUUGUCUACGCCGUGACCGUGAAGCGUUUUGGCGAGCUUCUAAUCGUCUCUUGCGAGACAGCUUACAUUGACCUCUGACCUCAAUUCAGGUAGGACUACCCGCUGAACUUAAGCAUAUCAA